CGUAGCAAAGCUACGCUAAUACCGCAUACGAUCUAUGGAUGAAANCGGGGGAUCGCAAGACCUCGCGCGAUUGGAGCGGCCGAUAUCAGAUUAGGUAGUUGGUGAGGUAAAGGCUCACCAAGCCGACGAUCUGUAGCUGGCUGAGAGGACGACCAGCCACACUGGGACUGAGACACGGCCCAGACUCCUACGGGAGGUCAGCAGUGGGGAAUUUUGGACAAUGGGCGCAAGCCUGAUCCAGCAAUGCCGCGUGCAGGAUGAAGGCCUUCGGGUUGUAACUGCUUUGUACGGAACGAAACGGUAAGCUCUAAUACAGUUUGCUAAUGACGGUACCGUAAGAAUAAGCACCGGCUAACUACGUG
This 362-nucleotide ribosomal RNA is filed under the name uncultured bacterium. Its description in RNAcentral is "bacterial SSU rRNA". It matches the Rfam family "Bacterial small subunit ribosomal RNA", at positions 147 to 507 of the family's 1533-position model. The record is from RNAcentral.